CGGACGGGUGAGUAACGCGUAAGAACUUGCCUUUAGACUGGGAUAACAGAGGGAAACUUCUGAUAAUACUGGAUAAGUUAGUAUAUCGCAUGAUAUGCAAAUGAAAGCUACGGCACUAAAGGAGAGCUUUGCGUCCUAUUAGCUAGUUGGUAAGGUAAGAGCUUACCAAGGCGAUGAUAGGUAGCCGGCCUGAGAGGGUGGACGGCCACAAGGGGACUGAGAUACGGCCCUUACUCCUACGGGAGGCAGCAGGC
Molecule: ribosomal RNA, 254 nt
Filed under: uncultured Leptotrichia sp.
Lineage: Bacteria; Fusobacteriati; Fusobacteriota; Fusobacteriia; Fusobacteriales; Leptotrichiaceae
Description: partial 16S ribosomal RNA
Rfam family: Bacterial small subunit ribosomal RNA
Source: RNAcentral